CCUGGCCAGGAUGCUUAUUGCCAAGUGCCCAUCCCUGAAGUGUGAACAAGGUGGAAUGGGACUGAAGAGUUCUAAGGAGGAAGAAGGAGAGGAUGAGACCUCAUUUCAUCAGAGCAAACAGUCUGAUCAGAAAUUUGAAAGACUUCCUCUGAACAUCAGCACACUGCAAAUGAGAAAUACAAAAGGAUUUUGUUGAAAGGAAAGCCUCCAUGUUUUUAUUCCCCUUUAAUGUACUUCAACUUGAGUAGGAAAUUUCAGCAAUGCAUGGGAUAAGUGACUCAAAUUUCUUGAGGCAGGAGAAACAAAGGUAAGUCACUGGAAACAUUAAGUAAAACAGUUUGACAAUCUGAGAGAAUUUGG
This 360-nucleotide long non-coding RNA is filed under the name Numida meleagris (helmeted guineafowl). RNAcentral describes it as "lncRNA (ENSNMEG00000015045.1)". The record is from RNAcentral. Lineage: Eukaryota; Metazoa; Chordata; Aves; Galliformes; Numididae.